RNAcentral lists this transfer RNA (72 nucleotides) under Camelus bactrianus (Bactrian camel). It matches the Rfam family "tRNA". From Rfam's summary of the family: Transfer RNA (tRNA) molecules are approximately 80 nucleotides in length. Lineage: Eukaryota; Metazoa; Chordata; Mammalia; Artiodactyla; Camelidae. The record is from Rfam by way of RNAcentral. RNAcentral also lists the same sequence under 2 other names.
AAGGUUAUAGCUCAGUGGUAGAGCACCUGCUUAGCAUGCAUGAAGUCCUGGGUUCAAUCCCCAGUACCUCCA